Polaromonas sp. JS666 is the source of this 169-nucleotide non-coding RNA. The record is from Rfam. Lineage: Bacteria; Pseudomonadati; Pseudomonadota; Betaproteobacteria; Burkholderiales; Comamonadaceae.
GCAAGGGUGACCGAGCGUGGGAAGGAAGCGUGGAAAGAAACCGUGAGCCGAUGAACAAGAAUCAGAUACGAGGCGCGAUGGAUCAAGGCGAGCAGGCACGUCACUGUAAAGCUUUUGUGGUCAAUGUGAAAUUGCGUAGAUCUGGCGGUUGUGCGGGGAAGGAUUGCGU